GUCUAUGGCCAUGCUCCCCUGAACAAGUCCAAUUCCAUCUGAUCUCGAAAGCUAAGCAGGGUCAGGCCUGGUUAGUACUUGGGUGGGAGACCACCUAGGAAGACCAGGUGCUACAGGCA
Molecule: non-coding RNA, 119 nt
Organism: Pteropus alecto (black flying fox)
Lineage: Eukaryota; Metazoa; Chordata; Mammalia; Chiroptera; Pteropodidae
Source: Rfam